RNAcentral lists this unclassified non-coding RNA (281 nucleotides) under uncultured fungus. RNAcentral's name for it is "partial contains small subunit ribosomal RNA, internal transcribed spacer 1, and 5.8S ribosomal RNA". The stretch from base 1 to 73 matches the Rfam family "Eukaryotic small subunit ribosomal RNA", at positions 1759 to 1831 of the family's 1831-position model. The record is from RNAcentral. Lineage: Eukaryota; Fungi.
UCAAACUUGGUCAUUUAGAGGAAGUAAAAGUCAUAACAAGGUUUCUGUAGGUGAACCUGCAGAAGGAUCAUUAGAGGAUUUUAGAUCUUGGAUUCGUCCUUGAUCGACCCUUUUUUUACAUCCAAAACACCUGUGCAUGGUUGCUUGUUGGAAAACUCACGUUUUACGACACAACAACUUUUUAUUAAAACACUAUGGUUUUUGAACGUUUUUACAAUCAUAACAAAAUGAUAACUUUUGACAACGGAUCUCUUGGUUCUCCCAUCGAUGAAGAACGCAGC